Molecule: long non-coding RNA, 841 nt
Filed under: Parus major (Great Tit)
Lineage: Eukaryota; Metazoa; Chordata; Aves; Passeriformes; Paridae
Description: lncRNA (ENSPMJG00000003932.1)
Source: RNAcentral
AGCUCGGUGUGUACAUCAGAUGUCGCUGGAAGGAACAAAGAAAAGGAAAAUGAAGGGAAGCUCCACACUGCAGAGAAGUUUAUUUAACAGAUUGCUGAGCACUAGGCUGUUAAGUGAAAAACAGGAUUACUUGUGAGAAAAAUCAGAAUCCUGGAGCAGCUGUAGCUAGAAAUGGGAUUAAACAAAAUGCCUUAAUGUUGAAACAUGAAAUCAGAGGCUGAGGAUAAAUGCAGACAGUUGAUGAGAAGAGGCCUAUGGCCAUGUGGCAGAAUGUCCUGUGUGGGAAAAUGGGCAGCUGAACACCAGUAUAGCCAACUCAUAUUUUUGAGUUGACUAGGAGACUUACUAGUGCAGGAUGAAGUAGUUGUGCAAUGCUCAGAGGAGGGCAGGAAAAUCACAGAAGGUCUCUGAACCUGGUGGUUGAAAACAUCAGAGGUGGGUAGAAAUUUUAAAAAAUAUAAUCUUAGUUAUACAAGAGACAAAGUUUGAGUGUUGGUUAUUUGUUGUGGUUUGGAAAAGGGUGAUCUGGGCAGCUGCAUUAAAGGUCUGAUGUGAAUGAAUGUAUCAAUGGCUAAGAUAAAUACGAUUCUUAGAGGCAGAAGCAAAGCAGUGAAAAGGCACUGAAACUUGAAUCCCCUGACUAAAAGUGAAUCUUUUUCUGUCCCAUAUGGGACAGACACGUGAGGUGUGUUGUUCAUAUGUUUUGCAGCUCAUAAAAACAACACUUAAGCUUUAUUUCUCACCAGUGUUUUCUGCAUGCAGUAAAUACUCUUUGUGGCUAUGCCAUGGAUUAUAAAUGCCUAAGACAGUAAUUUUAACUUCCAGCUGUGUGUGUGCCUUG